CUAGUAUAACAUGUGUCGUGUGUUUGAUCAAUCAUAUUCAUAGCAAGCAAACGAAAUCGUUAUACGGUCCGACAGCAAGUUCGAUAACUACUUCAACUUUGUAAAAUUAAGACGUUUUGAACUGGGUGAGGGAUGGACGGGGAGAAAGAGACAGCGGAGAAGGAUGACACAGAGCUGUCCGAAGAAGGGGCUGGACGCAGUCAUUUCCACGAGGACGACCAGGACCUACCCAUCAUGCACUGGGAGGACCUAAGUCUAAGGAUUGCAGAGCUGGAGAAACAGGAGGAGGAGAAGAGGGAGAGAGCAAAGAGUACAAGUGGGUCAGAACAGGGGAGUGUGUCAGGAGGCUGGGCAGAGGAGAGGCAGGGUGGGCUGUGGAGGAGGGAAGAAUGGGAGGAGCAGGAGGACUACGGAAGAUGUAGAGUCACAGUCGUCUCAUCUAGAAUCAACAACCACAAGAAUUUACAGUUAUGUUACAUCAACAACAGUGAGAGCGAUGAUGAUGAGGACGAGAGGGGGGCUGGCAAAAAGGGUUCUAUAGAGGCAGGUGGCCGUGGUUACCGUCCCUCUGGACUGAAGCUGGAGGUUAGAGCUGCACUGAGUGCGCUCAGAAACAAGUUGCUUGCAGAACAGAAUGAGAAAGAGCAUCUCACCUGCAGCAGCGUGAUCACUAAAAGGAAACAUCUGGAACGCUGUGACUUGGAAGUCUGCACAAUACAGCGACUCAACUCCCUCAGAACCUCCCUAAAUCACGACAUACAUGACCUGAGCUCAGAGUUGGUGGGUCAUCUGUUGGUAAGGGACCAGCUGAGGACCAAACAAGACGCUAUGCUCCUAGACGUACAGGAUCUGACAUAACCUUAACCCAUAGGAGCACAGGAUGUGACCUCCACUGCCAGGAACUUCUAGAAGUCAUUGUGAACAAUAGAGGAUUUUGUUAUCCUUUCCAGGAUAUGCCUCUUUCAGACUGUGUUGCCCUAGUAGCUUACUCAACAUACGAUUUUUCAUACAGGAAAACAUUUCAUGAAGGAUGAAAACUGAUAAGCAACAACUUGGACUGGUAUGAUGGAAUCUAGAUCACGCAGAUAGGAUAUGGAGGAUAUCUUCAUCUUGCAUUAUGCUUGAACAUCAUUUUCAUCAACAUCAUUAACUGGGAGAGUACUGUAUGAGAUCCUUUCAACCAACGCAUGCACUUAAAAAAAAUCAUAUCAGGAGUGUUUUUUGUGAUGUUUGAAAAAUCUUGGAUAUCUGAAGGUUUAUCUUAUCAAACGUGGAACCUUCACAGGCAUCGUUUGAUCAAGCCUUCAAUGAGUUAUAUCAUUUACCUACGGAAGAGGGAUUACAGCUUUUCCACAAGUUUUAUUGUGUAAACAUUGCAAUAUCCGUGAGUUACUAAUAUAAGGGAAAGUGUGAAACAAGCUAAGGAGUUACACUCAGGCUAAAAUGAACUAUCCUUUAAAAUUGGUUGAGAAGCUCCUUUGUUACUAAUUUAACAUAAUUAUCAUGUUUAUUAUUACUAUAAUGCAUUAUAAAAGGCAUUAUAAAAUGUAGUUGCUGAUGUCCACGUAUAGUACCAUGUAUAUGAGGUGAUUCUUAUGAGGAACAUUACUCUAAACUACCACCUGCAUAGGAAACCACAAUGCUGCUAUUCCAUUAAUUAUGUGUAGGCACAAGAUAUUUACCUGAAGAUACAGGCCCAGAGUCUUUCUUGUUCAGGUCACAUGGUCACUUCUUGUGCCUUAACCAGCCAGUACUAUGUCGCACUUUCACAUAAUCAUGUGUGUUGUAGAAUGAUGCAAAGAAUGAACUGUGAUAGGAGAUUCAUAGCCAUAAGAAAGGGAAGAGUGCUCUAAAGUACAGAGUAUUUCACUUUUUAAUCUGAAGUGUGUUUUGUUAUUGACUUUUUUCUUAAUCCUUUUGUAUUCAAUAAAC
Esox lucius (northern pike) is the source of this 1932-nucleotide long non-coding RNA. The record is from Ensembl. NCBI's taxonomy places the organism in Eukaryota, Metazoa, Chordata, Actinopteri, Esociformes, Esocidae.